CUUAGGCUAAAUAUCUUAAAGCUUGAAUCUUUUUUAUUAUGUGAAGGCAAAAUUUGAGGAGGGAAAAAUGGAUAUUCAAGAUAUUGAGUGUCCACUUGUAAUAUCAAAAUCAAGAAAUGAAGAAUCAAAGAAUAAGAGAAAAUGUGAUGAUUUUCUUGAAGAAGUUAAGAAGAUUUUGGCAUUAGCAGGGCCUUUAAUGUCAGUUAAUUUUCUUCUAUAUUGCUUACAGGUGAUUUCAGUUAUGUUUGUUGGUCAUCUUGGUGAGUUAGCUCUUUCUGGUGCUUCAAUGGCUACUUCAUUUGCCACUGUCACUGGUUUCAGCUUGUUGAUGGGAAUGGGAAGUGCAUUGGACACAAUUUGUGGGCAAGCAUAUGGUGCGAAGCGAUAUCAUAUGCUUGGUAUCCAUAUGCAAAGGGCCAUGAUAGUUCUUCUUUUCGUUAGCAUUCCGUUAGCCUUUAUUUGGGCAAAUGCAGGACAUAUUCUUGAAAUCUUAGGACAAAGUUCGGAAAUAGCAGCCGAAGCAGGGGAUUAUGCACGGUUCAUGAUACCGAGCAUCUUUGCCUAUGCACUACUACAAUGCCAAAUGAGGUUUCUACAAGCUCAGAACGACGUCCUCCCUAUGAUGCUUACUGCAGGAGCUACAGCUUUGCUGCAUUUAUUCACUUGUUGGUUUCUCGUGCUCAAAACCGGCCUUGGCAACAAAGGGGCUGCUCUGGCUAAUGCUGCGUCUUACUGGAUUAACGUGUUCUUAUUAGCUGCAUAUAUUGGGAUAUCGCCUUCUUGCAGAAGUACUUGGACUGGAUUUUCAAUGGUAGCGUUUACUGACAUCCCGAGAUACCUUAGACUAGCUAUUCCUUCAGCCGUUAUGGUUUGCUUGGAGAGUUGGUCAUUCGAAAUGAUGGUUCUGUUAUCUGGUCUUCUUUCUAAUCCGAAACUAGAAACCUCAGUUCUUUCAAUCAGCCUUAAUACAUCUUCAAUGAUAUACAUGUUGCCUUUUGGACUAAGUGGUGCCACAAGCAUAAGAGUUUCAAAUGAAUUAGGCGCUGGACGACCAAAAGCAGCUCGUGUAGCAGCGUAUACUGCAUUGUUCUUAGCUACUACAGAAGGAGUUCUAGUAGCAAUGUUCAUCAUUUCGGUUCGUAAAUUUUGGGGGAAAUGUUACAGCAAUGAGGAAGAAGUAGUAACCUAUGUGUCUGAAAUGUUGAUGUUUAUAGCAGGAUCACACUUCAUAGAUGCAAAUCAAUCUGUACUUUCAGGUAUUGCUAGAGGAUGUGGUUGGCAAAAAAUAGGUGCAAUUGUUAAUUUGGGAGCUUAUUAUCUAUGGGGAAUACCUGCUGGUAUUGUAUUAGCUUUUUUCUACCAUGUUGGAGGAAAGGGACUUUGGUUGGGUCUCACUCUAUCACUUAUUGCUCAAGCCCUCAUUUAUUUAGUAGUUACUCUCAGAACAAAUUGGGACAAAGAGGUUGAAUUUUGACAAUUUUGUUGACUUGGCCUAAUAAACUGAACCUGAAAUGACGAACCUAACUAUUAGGUUUUUAAAAAGGCAAAGAAAGCAGCUGAUAGGGUGAUUCCAGAGUUAGCAUAGAAUAAAAUAUUUUAAAGAAAGUAUCAUAUAGAAUUGAACAUUUUGAAUUUAAAAAUUGUUUAGACAAUCAAUGGUUCUUGUUUUAGUUUUUUUUAAAAAAUAAAUGUGAAUAUUUGAUUUUAUUUUGGUUACAUAUUUUUUUGGUAUUGAGAGGAUAUUACAGAUUUACGUAAACUCAAUAUCUUUUAACAGUAAA
This is an RNA transcript of Solanum pennellii, 1781 nucleotides long. It is a transcript of the gene named protein DETOXIFICATION 16-like, with no coding region annotated. The transcript is spliced from 10 exons. Lineage: Eukaryota; Viridiplantae; Streptophyta; Magnoliopsida; Solanales; Solanaceae. The record is from RefSeq and is a predicted model, not a curated record.